This 22-nucleotide non-coding RNA is filed under the name Arabidopsis thaliana (thale cress). Lineage: Eukaryota; Viridiplantae; Streptophyta; Magnoliopsida; Brassicales; Brassicaceae. The record is from RNAcentral.
UGUAUCUUUAGGUAAGUUCGUA